GCGUUGUCCGAAGUUACUGGGCGUAAAGCGCGCGUAGGCGGGUUGGUAAGUCCGCUGUGAAAGCCCGGAGCUUAACUCCGGAGGGUCGGUGGAUACUGCCAGUCUUGAAGGUGCUAGGGGGAGAUGGAAUUACCGGUGUAGCGGUGAAAUGCGUAGAUAUCGGUAGGAACACCAGUGGCGAAGGCGGUCUCCUGGGGCAUUCUUGACGCUGAGGCGCGAAAGCUGG
Molecule: ribosomal RNA, 226 nt
Filed under: uncultured bacterium
Lineage: Bacteria
Description: partial 16S ribosomal RNA
Rfam family: Bacterial small subunit ribosomal RNA
Source: RNAcentral